ACCCCUUACGAUUUUUUUGGGAAAUUUUGCAAAAAAAAUAAAAUUGUUUUGUUUUAAUGCCAAUGGGUUGCAAUGAGUUUCUUUUCACUCAAAUAAUGCUUGAAAUAAAAAAAACUGAAAAAUAAUAAAAAAAUCAAAAAAUUUAAAAAAAAAUGAAAAUUUUCCUCAUUUUUGCACCAAAUUUUGCCUAUAACUCGGUCGAUAUCCAACGAAUCGCCAAUCUUUAACUUGUGGUCGAUAGAUGGCACCAAUGGCUACAUUUUCUUCUUGGACGACCAUGCCCUCAGAUGUCUGUGCCAGAAGUUAUUGGAGGAACCAAGUUCCUUACCCUGUUUAAGAAAAUGUAAAAUUUUCCUCAUUUUUGCACCAAGUUUUGCCUAUAACUCGGUCGGUAUCCAACGGAUCGCCAAUCUUUAACCUGUGGUCGAUAGAUGGCACCAAUGGCUACAUUUUCUUCUUGGACGGCCAUGCCCUCAGAUGUCUGUGCCAGAAGUUAUUCGAGGAACCAAGUUCCAUACCCUGUUUGAGAAAAUGUAAAAUUUUCCUCAUUUUUGAGCAAUGUAGCAAAAAUUUUAAACGUGAUAUAUUUUGAUGGGAAUUUGUUGCAAUAAGUUUCUUUUCACUUAAAUAAUGCUUUAAACACAAAAAAGAAUAAAAAAUCAGAAAAAAUUUUUAAAAAAAUUUCAGCUCGAAAAUUUCAUAAGGCUUACCCCUUACGAUUUUUUUGGGAAAUUUUGCAAAAAAAAUAAAAUUGUUUUGUUUUAAUGCCAAUGGGUUGCAAUGAGUUUCUUUUCACUCAAAUAAUGCUUGAAAUAAAAAAAAAGUGAAAAAUAAUAAAAAAAUCAAAAAAUUUAAAAAAAAAUGAAAAUUUUCCUCAUUUUUGCACCAAAUUUUGCCUAUAACUCGGUCGAUAUCCAACGAAUCGCCAAUCUUUAACUUGUGGUCGAUAGAUGGCACCAAUGGCUACAUUUUCUUCUUGGACGACCAUGCCCUCAGAUGUCUGUGCCAGAAGUUAUUGGAGGAACCAAGUUCCUUACCCUGUUUAAGAAAAUGUAAAAUUUUCCUCAUUUUUGCACCAAGUUUUGCCUAUAACUCGGUCGGUAUCCAACGGAUCGCCAAUCUUUAACCUGUGGUCGAUAGAUGGCACCAAUGGCUACAUUUUCUUCUUGGACGGCCAUGCCCUCAGAUGUCUGUGCCAGAAGUUAUUCGAGGAACCAAGUUCCAUACCCUGUUUGAGAAAAUGUAAAAUUUUCCUCAUUUUUGAGCAAUGUAGCAAAAAUUUUAAACGUGAUAUAUUUUGAUGGGAAUUUGUUGCAAUAAGUUUCUUUUCACUUAAAUAAUGCUUUAAACACAAAAAAGAAUAAAAAAUCAGAAAAAAAUUUAAAAAAAAAUUUCAGCUCGAAAAUUUCAUAAGGCUUACCCCUUACGAUUUUUUU
Molecule: long non-coding RNA, 1436 nt
Organism: Anopheles funestus (African malaria mosquito)
Lineage: Eukaryota; Metazoa; Arthropoda; Insecta; Diptera; Culicidae
Exons: 2
Source: RefSeq, a predicted model, not a curated record